Long non-coding RNA from Perca fluviatilis (European perch), 270 nucleotides. RefSeq lists it as uncharacterized. The transcript has 2 exons. The record is from RefSeq and is a predicted model, not a curated record. Lineage: Eukaryota; Metazoa; Chordata; Actinopteri; Perciformes; Percidae.
UGCUAAAGAAGAACUGCAUCCUGAAAGAAACAAGAAUGUGGGCUCUGAUGAUCUGAACUCUGCAGCUCUGAGGUUCCUUCCAAACACAAUAAGGAACAGGAGGCCUGAUCAGAGAGAGAAGUGGAGACUCAGGUUCUUUAUAGCGCCAGCAGAUAGACACAAGCAGCAAUAGGACUGCAACUCUCAGUGGAACUGAUGCUCUAUAUUCAUCUGCUGCCAGAGUCAAUGGCAACAUUCUUUUAUUAAAUAAAGUUCCUAUACUCAUGGUCA